GACCCGUCUUGAACCACGGAGUCUAACAUGUGCGCGAGUCAUUGGGCUGUACGAAACCUAAAGGCGUAAUGAAAGUGAAGGUCUCGCCUUGCGCGGGCCGAGGGAGGAUGGGGCUUCCCCGCCCUUACACGGGGCGGUGGCCUCCGCACUCCCGGGGCGUCUCGUCCUCAUUGCGAGGUGAGGCGCACCUAGAGCGUACACGUUGGGACCCGAAAGAUGGUGAACUAUGCCUGGCCAGGACGAAGUCAGGGGAAACCCUGAUGGAGGUCCGUAGCGAUUCUGACGUGCAAAUCGAUCGUCGGAGCUGGGUAUAGGGGCGAAAGACUAAUCGACCACUUAGUAGCUGGUUCCUUCCGA
Molecule: ribosomal RNA, 357 nt
Filed under: Melanoplus sp. MFW-1997
Lineage: Eukaryota; Metazoa; Arthropoda; Insecta; Orthoptera; Acrididae
Description: eukaryotic LSU rRNA
Rfam family: Eukaryotic large subunit ribosomal RNA
Source: RNAcentral